GACGAACGCUGGCGGCGUGCCUAAUACAUGCAAGUCGAGCGGACUUUCAAGAAGCUCGCUUUUUGAAAGUUAGCGGCGGACGGGUGAGUAACACGUGGGCAACCUGCCUGUAAGACGGGGAUAACUCCGGGAAACCGGGGCUAAUACCGGAUAAUAUCUUUCUUCGCAUGAAGGAAGGUUGAAAGGCGGCGCAAGCUGCCGCUUGCAGAUGGGCCCGCGGCGCAUUAGCUAGUUGGUGAGGUAACGGCUCACCAAGGCGACGAUGCGUAGCCGACCUGAGAGGGUGAUCGGCCACACGGGGACUGAGCAACGGCCCAGACUCCUACGGGAGGCAGCAGUAGGGAAUCUUCCGCAAUGGACGAAAGUCUGACGGAGCAACGCCGCGUGAGCGAAGAAGGUCUUCGGAUCGUAAAGCUCUGUUGUCAGGGAAGAACAAGUACCGUUCGAAUAGGGCGGUACCUUGACGGUACCUGACCAGAAAGCCACGGCUAACUACGUGCCAGCAGCCGCAGUAA
This 515-nucleotide ribosomal RNA is filed under the name uncultured bacterium. RNAcentral describes it as "partial 16S ribosomal RNA". It matches the Rfam family "Bacterial small subunit ribosomal RNA", at positions 28 to 523 of the family's 1533-position model. The record is from RNAcentral.